RNAcentral lists this ribosomal RNA (429 nucleotides) under bacterium. Its description in RNAcentral is "partial 16S ribosomal RNA". It matches the Rfam family "Bacterial small subunit ribosomal RNA", at positions 355 to 776 of the family's 1533-position model. The record is from RNAcentral.
UAGGGAAUCUUCCACAAUGGACGCAAGUCUGAUGGAGCAACGCCGCGUGAGUGAAGAAGGUUUUCGGAUCGUAAAGCUCUGUUGUUGGUGAAGAAGGAUAGAGGUAGUAACUGGCCUUUAUUUGACGGUAAUCAACCAGAAAGUCACGGCUAACUACGUGCCAGCAGCCGCGGUAAUACGUAGGUGGCAAGCGUUGUCCGGAUUUAUUGGGCGUAAAGCGAGCGCAGGCGGAAGAAUAAGUCUGCUGUGAAAGCCCUCGGCUUAACCGGGGAACUGCAUCGGAAACUGUUUUUCUUGAGUGCAGAAGAGGAGAGUGGAAUUCCAUGUGUAGCGGUGGAAUGCGUAGAUAUAUGGAAGAACACCAGUGGCGAAGGCGACUCUCUGGUCUGCAACUGAAGCUGAGGCUCGAAAGCAUGGGUAGCGAACAGG